Molecule: non-coding RNA, 1754 nt
Organism: Microcebus murinus (gray mouse lemur)
Lineage: Eukaryota; Metazoa; Chordata; Mammalia; Primates; Cheirogaleidae
Source: RefSeq, a predicted model, not a curated record
AAGCCGGCCUCAAUGCCGGUUUUCUAGCUCUGUAGUGGCCAGAGCCUACCCGCGGGUGGCAUGCCUCAGACCGCGGCCAGCGCCGCUGGAACUGGGCGGAGGACCGCCGGGCUAGACGGAUGCCUUCCCGAGGAGGGGGUGAGAGGAGGCAAAUCGUCAGACGAGGCGCCCUCGGGGAGGAUCCGGCUAGACCACAGGAGCUGACCGCCAGGACUUUUGAUUGCUGAAGCGAGUCCUGCGGGGCGCCUACGGCCAGCUCCCGCUCCUUCCGCAACCGCCCGCCCAUAGCUGGGGAGGUACCCGAGAGUCGAAUCCAAACUGAGACAAGCAGAGGCGGGGCUGAAGUGCGGGCCAGUAGUAGCCAGAGUUUAGACCAAUCAGCCCUCGGCCCUACUUGUCUCGACCAAUAGGAAGUGGGCUAAGGCGCAGAGGCGGAAAGUGUAGCUAAAUGAGCAGGCGUCAGAGCCAAUCAGCCGUGGGUCUCGUUCCCGUUGUCCAACCAGCGGCGAGAGCGGGUAUGUGGGCGGGAGGCCGGAGCAGCUGUCAGGCUAAAGUCCGGCGAGCGACGCUCGGGGACGGCGGGAGGAGACGCUGCGCCGGGCCGGGCCCUGGAGAUGGUCCCCGGCGCCGCGGGCUGGUGUUGUCUCGUGUUCUGGCUCCCCGCGUGCGUCGCAGCCCACGGCUUCCGCAUCCAUGAUUAUUUAUACUUUCAAGUGCUGAGUCCUGGGGACAUUCGAUACAUCUUCACAGCCACACCUGCCAAAGACUUCGGUGGUAUCUUUCACACAAGGUAUGAGCAGAUUCACCUUGUCCCUGCUGAACCUCCAGAGGCCUGCGGGGAACUCAGCAACGGCUUCUUCAUCCAGGACCAGAUCGCUCUGGUGGAAAGGGGGGGCUGUUCCUUCCUCUCCAAGACCCGAGUGGUACAGGAGCAUGGCGGGCGGGCAGUGAUCAUCUCUGACAAUGCAGUUGACAAUGACAGCUUCUACGUGGAGAUGAUCCAGGACAGUACCCAGCGCACAGCUGACAUCCCUGCCCUCUUCCUGCUCGGCCGAGAUGGCUUUCAAGGGCCGUGACCAGGUCUGUCUUUGUUCGUCUCUCCAAUGAGGAUUUCAGCUGAGGCCCACCCCCUUUCAGCACUACUGCUCUGGCCUGACAGGGGUGCCUCCAAAAUUCAGAGUGGCAGGAAUGUGUGGACCAGGACAGCCUUGAACAGCCCAUAAGCCACAAAUCUCAACCCUAUGGAAAACUAUGGAAGCUCUUCUUAACAGAAUGGAACAGGUGAAACAAAACCAUGGGGCAAAGCCACAGACACACCCUUGACCGUCUUCCUGGAAGCCCUUCUGUGCCUUGUAGCCCUGGGACCCAAUCUAGCAAAAUGAAAACUUGGCCUUCCUCUAUGGGAUAAAAUGAUAUGAACAGAGACCCACUUAAUCUCUGACAAUCUCAAAUCUCGAUCUCCCUCUCCUUCUUUCUGGAGGACCAAAUACAGAAAAUAUUUAGUAAUCAAACCAAAGGAAAAGAAUCAGUGUUGUUCCUUUAUAAAGCCACUCAUUUCCAAAACAAAUGAAAGUAUUUCAAGAAAAACAGCUCUAAUUCAUAACAUCAAGAAGCCUGGAGAGCACUGAACUUUAAUGGAAACCAACCAUACAAACAUAUUUCCAAUUUGAAAAGGAAAUUUUAAGAAAAGAUCAUGAAAAAUUCUAAGACUAUGCAGUAUUUUUUUUUUUUUUGAGACAGGGUCUGUCUCUGUC